AGUGAACGCUGGCGGUAGGCCUAACACAUGCAAGUCGAACGGCAGCACAGGAGAGCUUGCUCUCUGGGUGGCGAGUGGCGGACGGGUGAGGAGUACAUCGGAAUCUACUCUGUCGUGGGGGAUAACGUAGGGAAACUUACGCUAAUACCGCAUACGACCUACGGGUGAAAGCAGGGGACCUUCGGGCCUUGCGCGAUUGAAUGAGCCGAUGUCGGAUUAGCUAGUUGGCGGGGUAAAGGCCAACCAAGGCGACGAUCCGUAGCUGGUCUGAGAGGAUGAUCAGCCACACUGGAACUGAGACACGGUCCAGACUCCUACGGGAGGCAGCAGUGGGGAAUAUUGGACAAUGGGCGCAAGCCUGAUCCAGCCAUACCGCGUGGGUGAAGAAGGCCUUCGGGUUGUAAAGCCCUUUUGUUGGGAAAGAAAUCCAGCUGGCUAAUACCCGGUUGGGAUGACGGUACCCAAAGAAUAAGCACCGACUAACUUCGUGCCAGCCGCCGCUGUAA
Molecule: ribosomal RNA, 506 nt
Filed under: uncultured bacterium
Lineage: Bacteria
Description: partial 16S ribosomal RNA
Rfam family: Bacterial small subunit ribosomal RNA
Source: RNAcentral